UACAGAGGUCUCGAGCGUUAGGCGGAAUCACUGGGCUUAAAGCGUGUGUAGGUGGAUGCCUAAGUACCUUGUGAAAUCCCACAGCUUAACUGUGGAACUGCUUGGUAUACUGGGUGUCUUGAGUCACUCAGGGGCGAGCGGAACAAAUGGUGGAGCGGUGAAAUGCGUAGAUAUCAUUUGGAACGCCAACGGUGAAAACAGCUCGCUGGGGGUGUGCUGACGCUGAGACACGAAAGCCAGGGGAGCGAACGGG
This 253-nucleotide ribosomal RNA is filed under the name uncultured bacterium. RNAcentral's name for it is "partial 16S ribosomal RNA". It matches the Rfam family "Bacterial small subunit ribosomal RNA", at positions 524 to 776 of the family's 1533-position model. The record is from RNAcentral.